AGAUGGGAAAAUCCUAGAACAUCAGAUUUGGUCUUCGAUGUCGCUUGAGGUUCGAUGACAGAUCUCCAUCGCGCCUUCUUGGUAAGAUGACAUGGCAAAUAGGUGCUGCAGCUUAUAUCAAGUGUAGCUCAAAGGCCAAGAUGACAACUUAGAAGAAUAUAAGAUCCAUUUGACCAAGAUGACUUAGAACACUACUCCAAGAUGACAGCUGAAUGUGGAGAACAAGUACAAAUUGUGG
Prunus avium (sweet cherry) is the source of this 238-nucleotide non-coding RNA. NCBI's taxonomy places the organism in Eukaryota, Viridiplantae, Streptophyta, Magnoliopsida, Rosales, Rosaceae. The record is from RefSeq and is a predicted model, not a curated record.